GUCUACAGCCAUGCCACCCUGAAUGUGCCCCCUGAAUGUGCCCAAUCUCCUCUGAUCUCAGAAACUAAGCAGAGUCAGACCUGCUUAGUACUUGGAUGGGAGACCACCUUGGAAUACCAGGUACUGUAGGCA
Molecule: ribosomal RNA, 132 nt
Filed under: Pteropus alecto (black flying fox)
Lineage: Eukaryota; Metazoa; Chordata; Mammalia; Chiroptera; Pteropodidae
Also listed under: 1 other name
Source: RNAcentral